ACGCACGCUGGCGGCGUGCUUCACCCCUGCCAGUCGCACGGAAAGGCCCUGCUUUUGUGGGGUGCUCGAGUGGCGAACGGGUGAGUAACACGUGAGUAACCUGCCCUUGACUUUGGGAUAACUUCAGGAAACUGGGGCUAAUACCGGAUAGGAGCUCCUGCUGCAUGGUGGGGGUUGGAAAGUUUCGGCGGUUGGGGAUGGACUUGCGGCUUAUCAGCUUGUUGGUGGGGUAGUGGCUUACCAAGGCUUUGACGGGUAGCCGGCCUGAGAGGGUGACCGGCCACAUUGGGACUGAGAUACGGCCCAGACUCCUACGGGAGGCAGCAGUGGGGAAUAUUGCACAAUGGGCGGAAGCCUGAUGCAGCAACGCCGCGUGCGGGAUGACGGCCUUCGGGUUGUAAACCGCUUUCGCCUGUGACGAAGCGUGAGUGACGGUAAUGGGUAAAGAAGCACCGGCUAACUACGUG
This 467-nucleotide ribosomal RNA is filed under the name uncultured bacterium. RNAcentral's name for it is "partial 16S ribosomal RNA". It matches the Rfam family "Bacterial small subunit ribosomal RNA", at positions 29 to 507 of the family's 1533-position model. The record is from RNAcentral.